CGCGGCCUAUCAGCUUGUUGGUGAGGUAACGGCUCACCAAGGCGACGACGGGUAGCCGUCCUGAGAGGGUGACCGGCCACACUGGGACUGAGACACGGCCCAGACUCCUACGGGAGGCAGCAGUAGGGAAUAUUGCACAAUGGGCGAAAGCCUGAUGCAGCAACGCCGCGUGCGGGAAGAAGGCCCUAGGGUUGUAAACCGCUUUCAGCAGGGAAGAAAAUGACGGUACCUGCAGAAGAAGGUGCGGCCAACUACGUGCCAGCAGCCGCGGUGACACGUAGGCACCAAGCGUUGUCCGGAUUUAUUGGGCGUAAAGAGCUCGUAGGCGGUUCUGUAAGUCGGAUGUGAAAACUCAGGGCUCAACCCUGAGACGCCAUCUGAUACUGCAGUGACUAGAGUCCGGUAGAGGAAGAUGGAAUUCCUGGUGUAGCGGUGGAAUGCGCAGAUAUCAGGAGGAACACCAAUGGCGAAGGCAGUCUUCUGGGCCGGUACUGACGCUGAGGAGCGAAAGCAUGGGGAGCAAACAGGAUUAGAUACCCUGGUAGUCCAUGCCGUAAACGUUGGGCACUAGGUGUGGGGUCUUCUAACGGAUUCCGUGCCGUAGCUAACGCAUUAAGUGCCCCGCCUGGGGAGUACGG
This 638-nucleotide ribosomal RNA is filed under the name uncultured Actinomycetes bacterium. RNAcentral's name for it is "bacterial SSU rRNA". It matches the Rfam family "Bacterial small subunit ribosomal RNA", at positions 232 to 885 of the family's 1533-position model. The record is from RNAcentral. Lineage: Bacteria; Bacillati; Actinomycetota; Actinomycetes.